ACCGCCUCAAAGCGUCCAUGUCUCCUCCCUUCAGCCUCCCCACCUCUACUACCCCCCACCACAAUCGGUUCCUAACCUCACCCAAUCUAAACCUGAUCUCUCUCCCCCAGCCCUCACAACCCAGUCCCCCGCCUAAUCACAGCAUCGCGGCGGAUUUGUUGCUUUAGAUCCACCGCAACCUAGGGUGUCCGCCACGAUCUGGGCUAGAUCGUGGUGGAUCGGGUGAGAUCACAAAGCAGUCGCAUUCUUCUGCCACGGUCUGGCCGAUUCCGGUUUGUAGUUAUUUUUUUUUUCUUCUCUCCCUCCUUAAAUGGCGACCAAGCAGUAGGUGAUUUUUCCUUUUUGGUUGUUAGAUAAAUAAGAAAUUGGUGACAAUCGAUCACAUUUGGUUUUAUUUAGGUGUACUGAUAGUUAUGAAAAGGAGGGUGCCCGGAUCUCAUCGGAAAUGUCACGGCCUCCACAAAAUCAACCACCAGCACCUCCGCUACCGCAUAAAACGCCACAUCCUCACCAAUUUCUUAUUUCCUAACACCCAAAUUUCAUCGGUCGUCACCAAUUUCUUAUUCUCCUAUGGUCAGCCAAGCAGAAUCAUCCGUGAGGUCUCCAAUAUUUCAUGGCAAAAAGUAUUUGGACCGAUUCAACCGGGCACUUUUGAACGUGGGUAUUACCUCAUGGGAUACAUGAAAGAUAUAGUUGAGAAUGGGUUGACAUUACUAAAAAACAAUUUCAUGGGAAAAGAAAGAUACACACGAGCCGAGAUGGAUGAAAUUAGAGGAGAAUGGGCAAUGUAUGUAUCAAAAUUUUUUUACACUUUCUUGGACCUGGUCUGACCGGUUUGUACUAGAGUUUUAAGUUUUUACCAACCUUUCUCAUCGGUCGUCACCAAUUUCUUAUUCUCCUAUGGUCAGCCAAGGAUUGCGUAGGAGGGUAAGUUCACCCCUUUGGUUUUUAGAAGCUUCGUGUUGUCCUUGUUUCAAUGAUGUGAUGAUGAGGACGGCGACAAUAAUGAUUAUACUAUAUAGUAUUUUUCUUGAUAUUAAUUUUACGUUAAUCCUUGUUUAAAAAAUCAAAGAAGCACAAAAAGGUCAAAUAAUGAUUCACAGGCCUUGUUUUACUACAGACAUGUAUCACUUCGCAAUGUUGUUGAGAGAAUUUUUGGUGUUCUAAAGAAAAGACUUCGGAUUUUUCAUGGAAUGAAUAAUUAUCUGUUGGAGAAACAAGCUCGGAUUGUUAUGGCAUGUUAUGUACUUCAUAAUUUUAUCAGAAGGUAAAAUAUGCAAGAUGAAAUCUUCAAACAGUAUACUGCGGAAGUAUAUUUGCAUGACCAAAACAAGGCAGCUAAUGAAGGAAAUGGGGAGGGAUUGAGUCAAUUGCAGCAACGUAUUAUUGAUGACAUGGCGCAUGUGCGAGAUAACAUAACAACUGAAAUGUGGGAACAACAUAUGACCAAUGUCGUAGUUGUUAAUAGAGUAUAGUUGUAUAAACGAUAUGUAAGGGUUGACAAUCAGUAAUUUCGUCAGAGA
Long non-coding RNA from Pistacia vera, 1523 nucleotides. RefSeq lists it as uncharacterized. The record is from RefSeq and is a predicted model, not a curated record. The transcript is spliced from 5 exons. NCBI's taxonomy places the organism in Eukaryota, Viridiplantae, Streptophyta, Magnoliopsida, Sapindales, Anacardiaceae.